Molecule: ribosomal RNA, 921 nt
Filed under: uncultured bacterium
Lineage: Bacteria
Description: bacterial SSU rRNA
Rfam family: Bacterial small subunit ribosomal RNA
Source: RNAcentral
CGCCCUUAGAGUUUGAUCCUGGCUCAGGACGAACGCUGGCGGCGUGCUUAACACAUGCAAGUCGAACGGGGUGUUUAUUUCGGUAAACAUCAAGUGGCGAACGGGUGAGUAACGCGUAAGCAAUCUACCUUCAAGAUGGGGACAACACUUCGAAAGGGGUGCUAAUACCGAAUGAAUGUAAGAGUAUCGCAUGAGACACUUACUAAAGGAGGCCUCUGAAAAUGCUUCCGCUUGAAGAUGAGCUUGCGUCUGAUUAGCUAGUUGGUGAGGGUAAAGGCCCACCAAGGCGACGAUCAGUAGCCGGUCUGAGAGGAUGAACGGCCACAUUGGGACUGAGACACGGCCCAGACUCCUACGGGAGGCAGCAGUGGGGAAUCUUCCGCAAUGGGCGAAAGCCUGACGGAGCAACGCCGCGUGAACGAUGAAGGUCUUAGGAUCGUAAAGUUCUGUUGUUAGGGACGAAGGGCAAGGGUUAUAAUACAGCCUUUGUUUGACGGUACCUAACGAGGAAGCCACGGCUAACUACGUGCCAGCAGCCGCGGUAAUACGUAGGCGGCAAGCGUUGUCCGGAAUUAUUGGGCGUAAAGGGAGCGCAGGCGGGAAACUAAGCGGAUCUUAAAAGUGCGGGGCUCAACCCCGUGAUGGGGUCCGAACUGGUUUUCUUGAGUGCAGGAGAGGAAAGCGGAAUUCCCAGUGUAGCGGUGAAAUGCGUAGAUAUUGGGAAGAACACCAGUGGCGAAGGCGGCUUUCUGGACUGUAACUGACGCUGAGGCUCGAAAGCUAGGGUAGCGAACGGGAUUAGAUACCCCGGUAGUCCUAGCCGUAAACGAUGGAUACUAGGUGUGGGAGGUAUCGACCCCUUCCGUGCCGGAGUUAACGCAAUAAGUAUCCCGCCUGGGGAGUACGGCCGCAAGGUUGAAA